Didymosphaeria variabile is the source of this 119-nucleotide non-coding RNA. The record is from the annotation of a RefSeq genome assembly. NCBI's taxonomy places the organism in Eukaryota, Fungi, Ascomycota, Dothideomycetes, Pleosporales, Didymosphaeriaceae.
GUCGGGAUGGCCGAGUGGUUAUGGCGUGUGACUCAAGCGAUUGAAUAAGAGCUUCCUUACACUUGUAAGGCGCAUUCUCAUGGGCUUUGCCCGCGGGGGUUCGAAUCCCCCUUCCGACA